CAGCAGCCACGGGAAUACAGAGGGUGCGAGCGUUAAUCGGAUUUACUGGGCGUAAAGCGUGCGUAGGCGGCUAAUUGAGUCGGAUGUGAAAUCCCCGAGCUUAACUUGGGAAUUGCAUUCGAUACUGGUUAGCUAGAGUGUGGGAGAGGAUGGUAGAAUUCCAGGUGUAGCGGUGAAAUGCGUAGAGAUCUGGAGGAAUACCGAUGGCGAAGGCAGCCAUCUGGCCUAACACUGACGCUGAGGUACGAAAGCAUGGGGAGCAAACAGGAUUAGAUACCCCAGUAGUCCCUGUCUCUUAUAU
This 301-nucleotide ribosomal RNA is filed under the name uncultured bacterium. RNAcentral describes it as "partial 16S ribosomal RNA". It matches the Rfam family "Bacterial small subunit ribosomal RNA", at positions 509 to 809 of the family's 1533-position model. The record is from RNAcentral.